This 421-nucleotide ribosomal RNA is filed under the name uncultured bacterium. Its description in RNAcentral is "partial 16S ribosomal RNA". It matches the Rfam family "Bacterial small subunit ribosomal RNA", at positions 360 to 773 of the family's 1533-position model. The record is from RNAcentral.
AAUAUUUGACAAUGGGGGCAACCCUGAUCCAGCCAUGCCGCGUGUGUGAAGAAGGUCUUCGGAUUGUAAAGCACUUUAAGUUGGGAGGAAGGGCUUUAGGCUAAUACCCUGAAGUUUUGACGUUACCAACAGAAUAAGCACCGGCUAACUCUGUGCCAGCGGCCGCGUGAAUACAGAGGGUGCAAGCGUUAAUCGGAAUUACUGUGCGUAAAGGGAGCGUAGGUGGGUCAGUAAGAUGGGUGUGAAAACCACGGGCUUAACCUGGGAAGUGCUUUCAUAACUGCUGGGCUAGAGUACGGUAGAGGGUAGUGGAAUUUCCUGUGUAGCGGUGAAAUGCGUAGAUAUAGGAAGGAACAACAGUGGCGAAGGCGACUACCUGGACUGAUACUGACACUGAGGUGCGAAAGCGUGGGGAGCAAAC